UACAGAGGUCCCAAGCGUUGUUCGGAUUUACUGGGCGUAAAGGGUGCGUAGGUGGUGAGGUAAGUCUGAUGUGAAAUCUCCGAGCUCAACUCGGAAAUGGCAUUGGAAACUACCUUGCUAGAGGGUUGGAGGGGGGACUGGAAUACUUGGUGUAGCAGUGAAAUGCGUAGAUAUCAAGUGGAACACCAGUGGCGAAGGCGAGUCCCUGGACGACUCCUGACACUGAGGCACGAAAGCUAGGGGAGCAAACAGG
This 253-nucleotide ribosomal RNA is filed under the name uncultured bacterium. Its description in RNAcentral is "partial 16S ribosomal RNA". It matches the Rfam family "Bacterial small subunit ribosomal RNA", at positions 524 to 776 of the family's 1533-position model. The record is from RNAcentral.